Molecule: unclassified non-coding RNA, 332 nt
Filed under: soil metagenome
Description: partial contains 5.8S ribosomal RNA, internal transcribed spacer 2, and large subunit ribosomal RNA
Rfam family: 5.8S ribosomal RNA (bases 1-120)
Source: RNAcentral
GAUGAAGAACGUAGCAAAAUGCGAUAAGUAAUGUGAAUUGCAGAAUUCAGUGAAUCAUCGAAUCUUUGAACGCACAUUGCGCCCGCCAGUAUUCUGGCGGGCAUGCCUGUUCGAGCGUCACUUCAACCCUCAAGCACAGCUUGGUGUUGGGACUCGCGUUAAUUCGCGUUCCCCAAAUUGAUUGGCGGUCACGUCGAGCUUCCAUAGCGUAGUAGUAAAACCCUCGUUACUGGUAAUCGUCGCGGCCACGCCGUUAAACCCCAACUUCUGAAUGUUGACCUCGGAUCAGGUAGGAAUACCCGCUGAACUUAAGCAUAUCAAUAAGCGGAGGA